AGUAAGGAAUAUUGGUCAAUGGACGGAAGUCUGAACCAGCCAUGCCGCGUGCAGGAUGACUGCCCUAUGGGUUGUAAACUGCUUUUGUCGAGGAAUAAACCUAUCUACGUGUAGAUAGCUGAAUGUACUCGAAGAAUAAGGAUCGGCUAACUCCGUGCCAGCAGCCGCGGUAAUACGGAGGAUCCGAGCGUUAUCCGGAUUUAUUGGGUUUAAAGGGUGCGUAGGCGGCACUUUAAGUCAGGGGUGAAAGACGGCAGCUUAACUGUCGCAGUGCCUUUGAUACUGAAGUGCUUGAAUGCGGUUGAAGACGGCGGAAUGAGACAAGUAGCGGUGAAAUGCAUAGAUAUGUCUCAGAACACCGAUUGCGAAGGCAGCUGUCUAAGCCGUUAUUGACGCUGAUGCACGAAAGCGUGGGGAUCGAA
This 422-nucleotide ribosomal RNA is filed under the name Sphingobacterium hotanense. Its description in RNAcentral is "bacterial SSU rRNA". It matches the Rfam family "Bacterial small subunit ribosomal RNA", at positions 353 to 772 of the family's 1533-position model. The record is from RNAcentral. Lineage: Bacteria; Pseudomonadati; Bacteroidota; Sphingobacteriia; Sphingobacteriales; Sphingobacteriaceae.